Molecule: transfer RNA, 38 nt
Filed under: Acipenser gueldenstaedtii (Russian sturgeon)
Lineage: Eukaryota; Metazoa; Chordata; Actinopteri; Acipenseriformes; Acipenseridae
Also listed under: 4 other names
Description: partial tRNA-Pro
Source: RNAcentral
ACUCCCAAAGCUAAGAUUCUACAUUAAACUAUUCUCUG